AGUUGUGUCCAUUCAUCCAUGCAGCCAGAGGAACAUUUGCGACCCUGCUGUCUUACCUGCUGCCAAGGAACCGUCAUGGACUUGAGGAAACUUCUCCCUGGCAAAACAGACGUUCUGGAUGGCGGUACUGCCUCUCACAGGUCAGCCUCGGUACUACAACAUACAUGUAGUUUGGGGGACUCGACAUGGCUGGUGAAGAUAUUGCUAUA
Molecule: long non-coding RNA, 209 nt
Organism: Syngnathus acus (greater pipefish)
Lineage: Eukaryota; Metazoa; Chordata; Actinopteri; Syngnathiformes; Syngnathidae
Exons: 3
Source: RefSeq, a predicted model, not a curated record